This 105-nucleotide non-coding RNA is filed under the name human gut metagenome. RNAcentral's name for it is "Moco (molybdenum cofactor) riboswitch". It matches the Rfam family "Molybdenum/Tungsten riboswitch aptamer (Moco RNA motif)", at positions 8 to 125 of the family's 135-position model. The record is from RNAcentral.
ACCAAAUCCUCCGAGCCGCUUGACCUAAGGCGAGAGCUAUGGUCUUUCGGCCGGGGUGGUUCCGGAAACGGGGCCGCCUCCCAUAGUGAAAAGGAGAAAAUUAUG